This 326-nucleotide ribosomal RNA is filed under the name uncultured Desulfobulbus sp. RNAcentral describes it as "bacterial SSU rRNA". It matches the Rfam family "Bacterial small subunit ribosomal RNA", at positions 1054 to 1382 of the family's 1533-position model. The record is from RNAcentral. Lineage: Bacteria; Pseudomonadati; Thermodesulfobacteriota; Desulfobulbia; Desulfobulbales; Desulfobulbaceae.
GUCAGCUCGUGUCGUGAGAUGUGGGUUAAGUCCCGCAACGAGCGCAACCCUGCCUUUAGUUGCCAGCAGUUCGGCUGGGCACUCUAAAGGGACUGCCGGUGUUAAACCGGAGGAAGGUGAGGAUGACGUCAAGUCCUCAUGGCCUUUAUGACCAGGGCUACACACGUACUACAAUGGCCGAUACAAAGGGCAGCGACACUGCGAGGUGAAGCCAAUCCCGUAAAAUCGGUCUCAGUCCGGAUUGGAGUCUGCAACUCGACUCCAUGAAGUUGGAAUCGCUAGUAAUCGUGGAUCAGCAUGCCACGGUGAAUACGUUCCCGGGCCUU